AAAACUGAUCCUUCUUUUAUUUAUUUGUGUGUCCGUUUGUGUGUGUCGUAGAUCGCGGAUUGCCCGAGGAGGAUCCCGAGGAGGAGUUUGACCGCGAGCCUGAGCCUGAGGAUCAGUAGCACGAGCCGGAACUCCCGGAAGGCUUUGAAGACGGCAAGUCCAAUCUCACCCUUUGAUGCAUAUUUAAUACCUAGUUUUUCAAACACAACCUAUUGGCCC
This 219-nucleotide long non-coding RNA is filed under the name Setaria italica (foxtail millet). Its description in RNAcentral is "long non-coding RNA (SITA_LNC006840)". The record is from RNAcentral. Lineage: Eukaryota; Viridiplantae; Streptophyta; Magnoliopsida; Poales; Poaceae.